UACGGAGGGUGCAAGCGUUAUCCGGAUUCACUGGGUUUAAAGGGUGCGUAGGUGGGCAAGUAAGUCAGUGGUGAAAUCUCCGGGCUUAACCCGGAAACUGCCAUUGAUACUAUUUGUCUUGAAUACUGUGGAGGUCAGCGGAAUAUGUCAUGUAGCGGUGAAAUGCUUAGAUAUGACAUAGAACACCAAUUGCGAAGGCAGCUCGUUACACGAAUAUUGACUCUGAGGCACGAAAGCGUGGGGAUCAAACAGG
This 253-nucleotide ribosomal RNA is filed under the name uncultured bacterium. Its description in RNAcentral is "partial 16S ribosomal RNA". It matches the Rfam family "Bacterial small subunit ribosomal RNA", at positions 524 to 776 of the family's 1533-position model. The record is from RNAcentral.